Molecule: non-coding RNA, 124 nt
Filed under: pig gut metagenome
Description: xerDC RNA
Rfam family: xerDC RNA
Source: RNAcentral
GAUCCGUUGCCGGACGGAUCACAGGACACCGGCGGAGCCUUCCGCAGCCGAGUUCAGCGGCCUGGUGUCCGCCACCGCUCCAUCGGAGCAGGGCGUAUUCGCCCCAUGUGGCUUCGUACUGACC